This is a small nucleolar RNA of Amaranthus tricolor (Joseph's coat), 88 nucleotides long. RefSeq annotates it as small nucleolar RNA Z102/R77. The transcript has a single exon. The record is from RefSeq and is a predicted model, not a curated record. NCBI's taxonomy places the organism in Eukaryota, Viridiplantae, Streptophyta, Magnoliopsida, Caryophyllales, Amaranthaceae.
GAAUGAAUUGAUGAACAAUUUGUUUCUCUAUUGGUUUGAUUCACCGGUAUGAUGGUGUAGUUUUUGUAUUCGUACUGUCUGAUCAUUC